UUGAUGUUUCCCCCAGAGAGAAUGAAUUUGCUCUGGGGUCCACGAGGGCCAACCCCCUGCCCUCGCACACCCUCCUGCCCUUGGCUAAUGACCACUGCCUCCCCCCCAGCUCGCGCAGUGGCACUGGGAGAGUCCGUCUCAGCUCGUCGGUGCAGGGGAGGCCUCUCGACCUCCUGGAGGGCCAGAGGGGCCCUGGGGAGCAUUGUCUUUCAGGAAAGCAUCACUCCUUGGUAAGAGGCCAAGUGUGCCCCAAGCUCCAGGUACCAGGGUUGCUGUGCCAGUGUGGCCUGUGACAGGGAGUUGCCUUCUUCCCGGUGUGUAGGGCUGGCCCUGCCCAAGGCUGAGCUGGCAAAACCGAAAAAGCCUCCUGCCUCUCCUUUCCACAUCGUCUCCUGAGACUCUGCUGGGUGCAGAUUUCCAAGAUUACUUCAAAACUCCAUUAUUAUCCUUCUUUUUUCACUUCAUGAUAUAUAUUACAGAAAUAACACAUGCAUUGUAAAAAAAGAAAAGAAAAGAAAAUAGAGAAAAGCAAAAAUUCUUAAAGGAACAAUAAAAAUCCUGCUAAGAUGGUUAAAAUUUUGUUACAUUGUCUGUCAGACCUUUUUCCUAUGUAAUCAUAACACAGUUAAUAAUGAUAA
Lemur catta (Ring-tailed lemur) is the source of this 638-nucleotide long non-coding RNA. RefSeq lists it as uncharacterized. The transcript is spliced from 3 exons. NCBI's taxonomy places the organism in Eukaryota, Metazoa, Chordata, Mammalia, Primates, Lemuridae. The record is from RefSeq and is a predicted model, not a curated record.